Non-coding RNA from Bos taurus (domestic cattle), 1771 nucleotides. The record is from Rfam. Lineage: Eukaryota; Metazoa; Chordata; Mammalia; Artiodactyla; Bovidae.
GACCUGGUUGUUUCUGCUGUUAGUGUAUACUUUUCUCAAAGAUUAAAGCAUGUAUAAGUAUGCAUGGGACUAAAACAGUGUAUGUCUCACUAAAUCAGUUAUGAUUCUUUUGGUCACUCACUUGUCUCCUACUUGAAUAAUAGGCAAUGCUAGAGUUCACUACAUGCCAAUGAGUGAUGACUACUUUCACACCAGAGUAAUGCAUGCAUUUAUCAGCUCCAACAACACUCUUCCCAUGGCCAUGACUUGGGGAUGUGUACCACUGGCUGUGGUGAUUCAUUCAAAUGUUUGCCUAAUCAGCCUUUGAUGGUAGUUCUCAUACCUACUUAUGAGUGAUGGGGAAUCAGGGUUUGAGUCAGGAGAGGGAGCCUGAUUAAUGGCUCCCACAUUCAAGGAAGGCAACAGGUAUGCAAGUGACAGAUACCUGGCCCAGAAAAGUAGUGAUGAAAGGACUCUCUUUGAUUUUCCAAGUCCUAUGAAUGACUGCUUUAAAUCAUUCCACAAAAAAAGAUAGAUAAAUUCCACAAGAAUCCACUGUAGGGCAGUCAGGAAUUCCAUCUACAAUAGGGCAUAUUAGAGAUGUUGCAGUUAAAACACGUCUGGCAUGAUUUUGGGAGUGGGCAGCUAGUCCGUCAUGAAACAGAGUCAUUGCCCAUCCCUGCCUCUUGGUACUCCUCAAACUGUUAGCCAAAUGUCUGUGGGUCCAGAAGCAUUUGCAUUGAAAAAGCUAGGGUGUUCAAAGCAGGUCUGAGCCAUUGGGAUAUCACAGCUAGGAAUAAUGGAAUACAACAGUGGUCCUAUUUUGUUCAUUUUCAAAACAGGCCACAGUUAAGAGAUACUGGAGUAUUCUUAUUACACACUGUAGGUGAAAUUCUUGAACUGGUGCGAGAUGGACCAGAGAGCUGUGCCAAGAAUGUUUUUAUUGAUCAUGAAUGAAAGUUGGAGGUUCAAAGAAGAUCAGACACCAUCAUGAUUCUGACCAUAGCUGAUGGUGACUGACAAUGUGGCUGUGUUGUUCUUCCAUAUCCUGCUGGACAGCUGAAGGGAAAUGAAACUUUUUGGUUUCUUGGGGGGUAUGGUUGCAAAGCUGCAACUUUAAAGAAUUGGUGGAAGGGCAUCACCAGGAGUGGAGUGGAGCUGGAGUUAAUGUCUUAACUUGACUCAGAAGAGGAAAUCUGACAUGGACAGGAUUGUCAGAUAGCUCUUUAGUGAUUUUGUGGGUGGUGCUGCAUGGCCACUGGUUGAGUGAUUUCUCUGUUUAAUUCCAAUAAUGAAAGGUACUCUGGUAUGCCAAUUCAUUAUAUGAUCCCUGAGCAGUGUCUUCUAAAGUUCUUAGAGAUACAGGUGGCAUUUAGCCACCCCAAAUUGAAGAAAAACAGGUCUGUGAUGGUUUUAGAUCGCUAGGGCUACACACAUGACACACUGAAUGGCUGAAGAUGUGCCUACACUCUAUCAGCAGGUGGAGGUAACCCACUGAACCCUUCUUGUGAUGGAGAUCACAGUUAUUCAUGAUUGACGAGUUCCCAGGCCCACACUGCUGAGUUCUCUAAGUGCAGGUUUUAAGCUUAUGUUGAGUCCCUGUUUUCUGGUUCUUACCACCCAUCACUACUACUGAUAAGAAUAUUUUGGUGAGGCCCUCCAAGUGGCUUCUCUGGGGUUGACCAAUGGUCCUGAUGUAGUGCCAGGUGGUGAUAGUUGAACUUUAGAGGAAGUAAAAAUAACAAGGUUCCCAUAGCUUGUUUCCACAGGUCAACCUGUGAAAGGAUCAUUA